This 76-nucleotide transfer RNA is filed under the name Thermus thermophilus HB27. Its description in RNAcentral is "E-TRNA from Thermus thermophilus HB27 (PDB 4V4I, chain 0)". It matches the Rfam family "tRNA". Rfam says of the family: Transfer RNA (tRNA) molecules are approximately 80 nucleotides in length. Lineage: Bacteria; Thermotogati; Deinococcota; Deinococci; Thermales; Thermaceae. The record is from RNAcentral.
GCGGAUUUAGCUCAGUUGGGAGAGCGCCAGACUGAAAAUCUGGAGGUCCUGUGUUCGAUCCACAGAAUUCGCACCA